This 440-nucleotide ribosomal RNA is filed under the name uncultured bacterium. RNAcentral describes it as "partial 16S ribosomal RNA". It matches the Rfam family "Bacterial small subunit ribosomal RNA", at positions 338 to 795 of the family's 1533-position model. The record is from RNAcentral.
CCUACGGGAGUCAGCAGUAGGGAAUUUUGCGCAAUGGGCGAAAGCCUGACGCAGCAACGCCGCGUGAUCGAGACGCCCUUCGGGGUGUAACGCUCUGUCAGUGGGGACGAAACUUGACGGUACCCACAGAGGAAUCACCGGCUAACUCCGUGCCAGCAGCCGCGGUAAUACGGGGGGUGCAAGCGUUGUCCUGAAUCAUUGGGCGUAAAGAGUUCGUAGGCGGCACGUAAAGUCUGGUGGUAAAGGCAGAGGCUCAACUUCUGUACGGCACUGGAUACUUGCGAGCUAGAAGGAGGUAGAGGUAAAGGGAAGUCCUGGGGGAGCGGUGAAAUGCUUAGAGAUCAGGAGGAACAUCGGGGGCGGAAGCGCUUUAGUGGGCCGUAAUUGACGCUGAGGAACGAAAGCCAGGGUAGCAAAUGGGAUUAGAUACCCUUGUAGUC